CCUACGGGAGGCAGCAGUGGGGAAUAUUGGACAAUGGGCGAAAGCCUGAUCCAGCCAUGCCGCGUGUGUGAAGAAGGCCUUCGGGUUGUAAAGCACUUUCAGUGGGGAAGAAAGCCUUGGGGCUAAUACCCUCGAGGAAGGACAUCACCCACAGAAGAAGCACCGGCUAACUCCGUGCCAGCAGCCGCGGUAAUACGGAGGGUGCGAGCGUUAAUCGGAAUUACUGGGCGUAAAGCGCGCGUAGGCGGUCUGAUAAGCCGGUUGUGAAAGCCCCGGGCUCAACCUGGGAACGGCAUCCGGAACUGUCAGGCUAGAGUGCAGGAGAGGAAGGAAGAAUUCCCGGUGUAGCGGUGAAAUGCGUAGAGAUCGGGAGGAAUACCAGUGGCGAAGGCGGCCUUCUGGACUGACACUGACGCUGAGGUGCGAAAGCGUGGGUAGCAAACAGGAUUAGAUACCCGGGUAGUC
This 465-nucleotide ribosomal RNA is filed under the name Vreelandella stevensii. Its description in RNAcentral is "partial 16S ribosomal RNA". It matches the Rfam family "Bacterial small subunit ribosomal RNA", at positions 338 to 795 of the family's 1533-position model. Lineage: Bacteria; Pseudomonadati; Pseudomonadota; Gammaproteobacteria; Oceanospirillales; Halomonadaceae. The record is from RNAcentral.